This 8303-nucleotide long non-coding RNA is filed under the name Sus scrofa (pig). RNAcentral describes it as "lncRNA (ENSSSCG00050038384.1)". The record is from RNAcentral. Lineage: Eukaryota; Metazoa; Chordata; Mammalia; Artiodactyla; Suidae.
GGGCCCCGCGGGAGCUUCGUUCUGAGAAGAGGUCGAUGGCGCCGGAGUUUGCGGCCUCCGCGCAGCAAUGGGUCUGCCUGCCGCGGAGAUGGGUGUGUCACCGGCCUCGCUGGGCUCAGGCUCUUACGUCAUAAAACAAGAAGGUAGCUGAAUCCAGGCCAGAGAUCAAGAAGAUUUUAACUAACACUUGCUCAAGAUUCGUUCCCUAAAGUUGAGGAAACUGAGGCUUGAAGAAGUUGCACAAUUUGGCUGAAAAUCCAGUAAAUAAUAGAGUGAAGAUUGGAUCUGAGACCUUCUGAUUCCAAGAUGGAAGCUAUGAACUGGCUUUUGGAAAUGGGCAGUCAAUGUCGAACACAGUAGCAGCAUAACUGGCUUAUUCUGAUUGAUGGGCAUACCCUAUAAUGCAGAUGUGACCCACAGAGGAACUCAAGAGUGGUGAAGAAUGUUUGGCGUGCUCUUAAGGGAUAUUGUUCUCCAGUCUUAAAACAAAGAUGAAAACACUCAUUGUCCAGCUCCAAGAACUCUACUAGCCAGUGGAGACAGAUGUAUACACAGGUAAAUACAAAUGCAUAAGAGACUGGUGAAGGAUUGUUCAUCUUACUUAAUAGAUGUUCAUGACUAGGUCAGGGAACAAAAUUUGCCUAAGGCAGCUCGUCUUCUAGUUUUAUCAUCAUUAAUUAAUUUUGGACCAUUUAACACAUGCAUAGAGCUGUGCUAUUUCUAGAAAUAUAUGAAAUGGGAAUAUGAUAGCCCAUCUCAGCUAAUCAGCCUCUUCUUCCUGGCUCUGGAGGUUUUAAAAACAGUGACUCAUAAAAUAUUUCCCAGGCAACCGUCUAUCCAGUCUUCCCACAAGUCUGAAUUUGUCAGCCUGUCUCGAUUUUAUCUAAGAAAUUAAAUCUCAAUUUUAGUAUUAUUAGCACUUUUACUGGCUUACCAUUUUUAAAAGAGAACAUGUAAAUUAUAAUGAAGAUAAAUAAGAAAUGAAAAGCCUUAAAUACAAUGGCAAUGAUUUUUAGUAAAUGACCAUUAACAAAGAUUUCCAGAAAUUAAUCGGCACAGAUGGGCAUGGCAAUCACUUAUGAAGGAAGUCUUCAUAGAAAUGCUUGGCUGUGAGGGUUCUAGGAAAUAUUGUCUGAUACACUGUACAACCUUUCCAAAGGAUAAUUUUUGAAUAUGAGUUAAGAAGCUUAAAGGGGUUUUCAUUUUUGAAGUAAUUAUUCCAUUUCUUGAAAUCUACAUUAAAGAAAUCAGAGGUUUACAUAUCAUUGCAAUGAUAUGUGUUAUGGCAAAUAUUCUAAACAGCCUCAAAAAUAGGGAAAAAUUUAAAAGAAUUAUUGGUAGAACCAUACUAUAGGAUACUACACAAUCAUGCAAAAUUACGUUUUCAAAAACUUCAUGUGUAUAAUGACAUAAGUAUAUGCUCUCUGUAUAGCACAAGCUGGAAAAAAAUCAAGUUACAAGAGAUAUGUACGGUUGAUUCCAAUUUAGAUAUGUUACAUAAAAGAGAUUGGAAGAAAAUACACCAAAAUAGUUUUCUCUGGCUAGUGAGAUUACAGAUGGUCUUCCCAUUCUGGAUUUUCCAAAUUUUCUACAAUCAGUUCUGUGGGGAGGAGGGGCUAUUUUUUGUAAAUGUUUGCUUUGUGCAAUAAAAGGUCAAUCCUUAUGAUUGGAAAAGGAGGAUGUUUAGAAGUAUGGAGCAUACUGAAGGUUUCCAUGGAAAGAAUAUAAAGGACAUGCUUCAUACUUUACCUAAACAUUGUUGCAUAUUCAUCUAUGUUCCCAUCCAGGCCUUACAACAUUCUCUAUAAAGAUCUAUCACUUCUUAGGGAAAACAAAAAAGAAGCAAAACACAUUGAGUGGUUACCAUAUGCCAGGUACCUUCACAUAUAUUGUCUUAUAUGAUCCUCACAGAAAUCUAUAACAUUGACUUCUAAUACAUUUAGGCAACUUACUCAAAGUGAUAGAAAUAUUACCUUAUUAGACCCAAGAUCUGAAAUCCAAUAACAAGUUCCUACUAUAUAGCAAAGGAAGCUAUAUUCAAUAUCCUGUGAUAAACCAUACUUGAAAAGAAUAUGAAAAACAAUGUGUGUGUGUGUAUAUAUAUAUGUGUGUGUGUGUAUAUAGGUAUAUAAUUGAAUCACUUUGCUAUGCAGCAGAAAUUAACACAAUUGUAAAUCAAGUAUACUCCAAUUAAAAAAAUAAAUUACAAAAAUGAAACCCAGUCCAGUGACUCCAGGCCAAGAGUUUAUCACAACUGCCUCCUUUAUGUACAUCUGCACAACUGAAAUAUACUUAUAGGCAAAAAAGUGUCCAUGUUAUUUCAAUUACUUGUCAACUUAGAGAAUUAAGACAUUUGUAUUUUGCACUAACUUAAGUAUAUGAUUAUUUAUAUAUCCUAUAUAUUGACUACUUGCCUGUUUUUUUAAGCUCUGCUGUCUGUUACCAUCAGUAUCAAAAACAAGUUUCAGGCUGUUUUACGCAGAACAGAUACAUGGUUCUUCUCAAACAAUAAGCUUUCCCUAACAUUUUUAAAGAAUUUGUUAAAGACAAAUAAACAAAAAAUGAAAAACCUUGAGUCAUAAAUUGUGUAUUUAAAUUUGUCUUUACCGAUUCACUUCUUUAAAUUACUUUCCAAAUGACUAGAGAUAUGUGUUUAUUUUUCCUGGCAAUCCCUUAAUACACACCAUCCUACCCCUGCCCCCACACUCCCUGCCACACUAAAGAAAUCAAUCUCACUUAUCUCCAUUAAUCCUAGACUAAAACCAACUUCAAAUUUUGGUUCAACAUUCACCAACUGAAGACAGUUUUCUAGGACUGGCCCAGUUCUGCUUUGAUCAUUUACUCUGUUGCUAUUAGUGAUGUAUUUUAUAUGUCCUAAAUUAUUUCGCACUUCUCCAUGUAUCAUUUUGUGUUUGUUCUCAUUCACUUUAUUUCUACAUAUUUGCAUUCUAAGUUUCAGGAGUCCUGACCCCUUCUUUUAUAUCAUCACAGAUGCUUUGUUAAAUGUCAUGAACAUUUCUAUAUUCAUUAUGUACAUAGUGGGUGUCCAAUAAAUACUUGUUAAUUAACUGUGCCCAGCUCACUCCUACCUAUUCACCCACAAACAUAGAUUCCCAAGAAAAUCAACGAAAUGAAAAAUGAACAGGUGAAGAAGAGGACACCAUAUUUGAAUUGGCAUACAAGCCUAUUCUCUCUUUUGCUUUACUAAUUUGUCUUGGGCUAGGGAAAAGAGGUUUGGUAUAUCUCCUAGCUUUUUAAGGAAUUUCAGGAUUGCUGGCCAAUUCCAGGCUCUUCCAUUGUGAUUGAAUCUCAGUGGAAAUAUUGUGAAAGUUCAAAUUACAUUAGUUUGGUCUUUUAUGUCGAAAAUUUAGUUAAGUUCAAAAAUAUCACUAUGUGUUAAUUUGCCCCUGCAGCUGUUGAAAGCUUAAUAUUAAAAAAAAAAAAACUGAUCUGAUCUAAGAGCUUUUAUAUAUGAGAAUUUCUACCAAAUGUAUGACCUUACUUAAAUCAUUUAACCACUCAACAACUUGCAGUUUCUUCAUCUACAGAAUAGGGAUAAUAAUACACUGAUCAUGUCACCUGGAUGGUUGUAAGGAUCCUAUGAGAUGAUGUAUAUGAAAGCACAUUAUAAACUCUGGUGAAAUAUACAAAUAUGAACUUACAUUUUUAAUGCAGAUCUCACCAUAUACUCUUUCGGUUAUGAUUUUUAAUAUCUCUAAUUAUUUGUGAGGCUAAAGGAUAUAGUUUCCAUUAAUGCGUGAAGAUACCUCCUUGUCUGCAUUGAGAUAGUUUCCAUUUCCAUGCUUCCUGCUAGCUUUAUUGACUGAUAAUCAACACACGUCACAUGCUCUUUAGAAACAGACCUAUUUUAGUCACUGGUAUUACAAUCUGAUCCUUUGUUCCUAUGGUACAGACUGUCCCCUCAAGUACAGUAUAAAAAAAAAAAAAGGUAUAUUCAGUUAAAAUCUUUGCACAGUCUUAAGUGUACAGAUAAAGUCCAUUCUAACUGUGCAAAAUAAACUAUGUUUCUUAAACAAGAUUUCAUUCAUUUUUACCACACCCUAUCAGUUCCUCUAUCAAAACUUUGCUUUUUUAAUUGGUUCUGGAAAAAUUUCCAAAUAUGACUCUUCAAAAUGUUUAGUUAUAUGGCAUUAGAACUCCCUAUAAUAUCCUUCAGUAGUUAGAGGAAAUGGAGAGGAAAAAAAGGUAUGAAAAUCAUCACAGGUAAUAUGCCCUUCUCCUUUAAUCUCAUUGAAAUGACCCCGAAGGAGUUCCCAGGAGGAGUUCUUAACCUAGUAGAUUAAGGAUCUGACUGAAGCAGUUCGGGUCACUGUGUAGGUACGGGUUCAGAGAAGUAGGUUAAAGGAUCUGGUGUUGUCACAGCUGUGGCAUAGGUUGGAUUUGAUUCCUGGCCCAAGAAUGUCCAUACACUACAGAUGUGGCCAUAAAAUUAAAUUAAAAAAAAAAAAGGACAAUUAAGUAUGUUCCAAAAAAAAAAUGACCCAGGAAAUAAAAAUAUAUAUUUGUGAGCAAACCUACAUCAGCAAUGGGCAAAGGGACAAGCACUUACUAGCAACAUUAGAAAACAAUCUACUAGAGGUGGGCAGACUAAUCUGAGCUGAAAAAGGAACUGCUGUAUCCAAAGGGGACAUAAGUAUAGGAGACCCCAGCAGAUUCUCAAUACUAUCCCUCACAUGGAGGGACUGGAGGCAAGACUCCUAAAGUCAGGGGCAUUCUAGAAAGCCACCACAGAGACUCUGAGAAAAACAUCAGUCCCAGAGAGUAUACAGAGGGGUUUGCUCUUGACAUAUUUUUUUAACUCAAAUAUAAACACACUAUACCCAUUACUCUGCUUUGGAUAUUUUUCCAUAUCAGAAUAUAUAGAUCUACUGCUUUAUUUAUUUAUUUUUUUUUAAGGGCCACACCUGUGGCAUAUGGAGUCAAAUCAGAGCUACAGCUGCCAGUCUAUGCCGUAGCCACCACAAUGCCAGAUCUAGCUGCAUCUGCAACCUACACCAUAGCUUGGGGCAAUGCAGGAUCUUUAACCCACAGAGUGACACCAGGAUCGAACCCGCAUUCUGGAUACUAGUGGGGUUCUUCACCCGCUGAGCCAUGAUGCGAACUCUUACUGCAUUAUUUCUAAUGUUUCGGUCACAUUGCUGUAUAGCUGUAUCACAUCUGUGUAUAUUGCUGAAAGAAUAGUUAACUAAAUUCCAAAAAGUAAAUUGCUAAUCUACAGGUGUGAAAAUUUCAUUUCGAUUAAUACUAUCAAAUUGCCCCCCUUAAAAUAUCAAAGCCACCUAUCCCACCACCGAAGUAUAAAAGUAUUAGUAUGUACAAAUUCUUACCAAUUACCAUACUUUAAUUUUUUAGCUGUAAUGUUAUCUAUUUUUUGCAAUCUUUUAACUUUUUUUACCACUCUAGAGGGUAAAGGUGACAUUUCAUGUUCUUUUCAUUGUUUCUUGGGUGACUCAUGAGGUUUAGCGUUAUUUUCACACAUUUGUAAACCACUGUAUUUCUUCCUCUGUGAAAUUUUUACUCUUUCCCUUUUCUUCAUUUGGGUUGUUUUUCACUUGGGUCAGUUCUUCACUUGGGUUGUUUUUGUUUGUUUGUUUGUUCUUUUUGUCUUUGUCUUUAUAAGCAGGAGAAUAGAUAAGAGAACAGAAGCUGGAGCCAGCCCAGCUGGACUCAAACCGCAGCUCUACCACUUAGUACUCCUUUCCUCACCUAGAAAAGUAUGAUAAUGCUGGAAACUACCAUAUAGUGUUGUUUCAGGACUUUUGAAUGACUUAAAAUUUAAAAGUACUUAGAACAGUGCCAGGCACAGAGAGAUAUUCUUUUCCAUUACGGUUUAUCACAAGAUAUUGAAUUUAGUUCCCUGUGGUAUAUAGUAGGACCUAGUUUUUUUACACAUUCUAUAUGUAAUAGUUUGCUAAUCCCAAACUCCCAAUUCAUCCCCACCCUCUCCUUGGCAAUCACAAGUCUAUUCUCUACAUUUGUGAGUCUAUUAGAAAAAGAUUCUAAUAUCAUACUCAGAAAGGUAAUUCUCACUCUAAGAUUUUAAAAGUCUUCUUCCACAUGUCCUUGCAAUGAUUUUAUUUUAUUUUAUUUUAUUUUGACCUUGGGCUCUUUAAUCUAUUUGAGAUUUAUUUUUAGAAACUGGAUAAAAUAACACAAACUUUACUCUUUUCUUCAUGGAUAGCCAGUUGUCCUGCUCUUUCUUUUACUCAUUAAUUUGAAAUACUCAAAAACUGACAUCACAACUGGGAUUGCUUUGUUUCCCUAUCACCUUGGAGAGGAUUGGUAAUUUUACAACAUGAGUUGUCCUACAUUAGGACAUGGUAAUUACUCUAUUUUUUCUGGUCUUACCUUGUAUCCUCAGUUAAGGUUUUGUGGUUUUUCUUUGUAAAAAUCUUACCCAUCUCUUGCUCAUUAUAUUCUUAAGCAUGUCUUUAAUUUACCAAUUGCAUUUACUAUGUACUGAAUUACAGUAAUGUAUUUCCCAGUGUUGAAUCAUCCUCAUUGACUGUAGGAGUCUAUUCAAUGAUUUCUUAUGAAAUAUGUCAAACAUACAGAAAAAAAGCAUUACAUAUAUUUAAUUUAUAUUAUAUUUAUGUCAUAUUUAAUAGAAGACUAACAUAGUAUAAAUUAAAUACCUGUGUAUUAUUUGCCAUUGAUCUUUGUCAAAUCUAAACAUUUUGUGAUAUUUAUAUAAUUGGAGGGGGGAUGGAAAUUCAUCAAUACAGCCAGAGUCCCUAACAUACCUCUCCCAGAUUCCAUUCCCAGAUUCCAUUCCCCUUGCUCCCUACUCAGUUAUAACCAUUAUCCUGAAUUAAAGGUUUAUCAUUACCAUGGAUGUGUUUUUAAUAUUAGUACAUAUAAAUAACUCAUAAUUUAUACCAUGUAGUAUUUUUCAACCUGUACGUGAAUUGCAUGAUACUGUAUUUUCAUUCUGCAGCUUGGUUUUGUUUUUGUUUUUUGACUCAAAAAAAAAAUUUUUUUUUUCUUGUCUUUUAUUAGAGCCACACCAGCGGCAUGUGGAGGUUCCCAGCUUAGGGGUCUAAUCGAAGCUGUAGCCGCUGGCCUACACCACAGCCAUAGCAAUUUUACCAGGUCCAAACCACGUCUGUGACCUACACCACAGCUCAUGGCAAGGCCGGAUCCUUAACCCACUGAGUGAUGCCAGGGAUCGAACUCGCAAACUCAUGGUUCCUAAUUGGAUUCGUUUCUGCUGCGCCACGACGGGAAUUCCGAAAAAUUUUUUUAAUUAUUGAUGCCUGUAGUUCUAGCUUAUUCGACAGAGGUGUGGUACUCCAGUUUAUGAAUAUAUUUCCAUUUGUUCAUUCUUCCGCUGACCGACAUACAGGGUGUUUCCAAUGCUUUCCUAAUGUAUGUGGCGCUAUGAUGAAUACUCAUGUGCAUGUAGAUUUUCCCCAGAGCUGUACUACCCAAUACUUUAGCCACUUCUCUAAAUAGCUUGUUCGUAUCUUUGCCCACUUUUCUGUCAGACUUGUUUCUCCUUUUCUUUUAUAUUUGUAGUAGCAAUUUAUACAUUUAGAAUAUUUGUAUAUUAUAUUAGUUACAUGUGGUAUAAAUAUUUUCUCCCAUUCUGAACUUUUCUUUCAACUUUGAUUAUGGUGUCUUUUGUUAAGCAGGGGUUUUUUGUUUCAUCAAUCUUUGCCUUUUUGAUGUAUGCUUUUGGCUGUCUUAUUCAACAAAUCCUUCCCUAUCCCAAGAUCAAAAACAUAUCUCUUACAUUUUCUCCUAAAAUGCCUAAAAUGUUAAAGGCUUUUUAUGUUUAGGUUUUAAUCCCCCUGGAAUGAACACUUAAGUGUAUGGUAUGAGAAUUUUAUUUUCUGUGUGGAUAGCCAUCUGUUCCAUGAUAAUAUUUUGAAUAGUUUGUCCUGUUUCCAAUUAUUUGUAAUAUAUCAUAUACCAUAUCUUUCUCUAUAUAUGGUUCUUUUCUAGGCUUUCUAUUCUGUUACAUAUAUGUGUAGUUGACCCUCUAUAUCCAUGAGUUCCACAUCCAGGGAGUAAACCAACUGGAUCAGGAGUUCCCAUCAUGGAGCAGUGGAAACGAAUCCAACUAGGAACCACAAAACUGUGGGUUUGAUCCCUGGCCUCGCUCAGUGGGUUAAGGAUCUGGCAUUGCCGUGAGCUGUGCUGUAGGUUGCAGACACAGCUCAGAUCUGAUGUUGCUAUGGCUGUGGUAUAGGCUGACAGCUGUAGCUCUGAUUUGACCCCUAGCCUGAGAACUUCCAUAUGCCGGGAGUGCAUCCCUAAAAAGCAAAAAAAAAAAAAAA